Molecule: long non-coding RNA, 1450 nt
Organism: Meriones unguiculatus (Mongolian gerbil)
Lineage: Eukaryota; Metazoa; Chordata; Mammalia; Rodentia; Muridae
Exons: 3
Source: RefSeq, a predicted model, not a curated record
UGUUGUGUUUUGCUUUAGAGCGAGCUUAGGUCAACAAGGCCUGUAAGGGAGAGGAAAAGUUCCGACCACAGGUCUGCAGACCCUCUCUGAGUUUUUCCGUACGCCCUCCGUCCUUUCUGGACUUUAGAAAGGGCAUUUCUCAACCCUUCCCUUUUCCCGUAAGUUUAACCUUCCCGUCCCGAAAGGGAAACCCUCUGUGGUCUCUCUUCAACCCAGUCAAAAACAGUUGUUGCCUUGACGACUCUUUCUAACGUAAGACAAAAGCUGGGCCCUGAAGGAGGAGGCGGCAGUGAUUUUUUGAUAGAGGGCCACAAAGACUCAGUGUAACCGAAAGAGCUUCUCUUGAGGAACUAAAUGAAAACGAAGAUGCGGCCGAAGUUGAAUACAGGACUGUCAAGAUGGUUCAGUGGGUAAAGACGCUUGCUGCCAAGCCGGACAGCCUGGGUUCAAACCCCACAGGAUGGAAGAGGAGACUCUUCCCUGCCAGUUGUUGGAUCUACACUUGCGCGGUGGCAUUUGUGGACACAGAUUCACACGCAAAAUAAACACACGCAAAAUAAUUUUUAAAUAAAAAAUGAGAUGACUCAUCAGGUCACCUGCUUCCAGCCCUGGUGACCUGAGUUCCAUCCCCAGGACCCACAUGGGGGAAAGAGAGAAUUCACUUCUGCAGACUGUCCUCUGACCUCCACUUGCGUGCCACAGUGCACGUGUACCCACACACGCGUGCGCGCGCACGCGCACACACACACACACACACACACACACACACCAAAGUGAAUAAAAUAUAAUUAGAUUUUUUUUUUCCCAAGCAAAAUGUUGGAAUUCUUAUCCACUUUGUGGUGGUGUUUUCACUGUGGCAAUUAUUUGGCAUUUGCUCUUGUAUUGGUUUUUCAUUUUCCCCUUUUCUAAACGUCUUUCUUUUGUGGGAGAGGGAGUUGUACGCACAUUGUCGGUGUGUAAAAUGUGAAAAAGCUCACGUGGGGAUAAUCACUGCAGUGGUCACCCACAGCUCAGCAACAUUCAGAGUCACGUGCAUCGUAUAUUCCCUUUUUUUAUCCUAAUGGGCCUGAGGUCUACUGUUUAUUUAUUUAUUUUUGGAGAUGGGGGUCUUACUUUAUAGUCCAAGGCUAGCCUCUAAUUCACUGUGUAGUUCAGGUUACCCUUGUACUUGAGGUAAUCUUCCUGCUUCAGCCUCUUGGAUGUUGGGAUUGGGAUUACAGCCACCUUAACCAGCUGUCUUAUUUAUUUUCAUUUAAUAAUUAUUAUCUUAUUGUUUUAAUUUUAAUAAUAAAAUUUCUUGUGGUAUUGGGGAUCAAACCCAGGGCUUUGUACUCUACCAAUGGCUGUACGCCUAGACCAAUACACUGUUUCAAUUUCUGACAGAAAGCUGGUUAUUUUUCUGAGUCUAUAACAGGUGAAUACCAUAUCUCUAUCACUAUAUAGUAUCAAA